UACUGGGCGUAAAGAGCUCGUAGGUGGUUUGUCGCGUUGUUCGUGAAAUCUCACGGCUUAACUGUGAGCGUGCGGGCGAUACGGGCAGACUAGAGUACUGCAGGGGAGACUGGAAUUCCCGGUGUAGCGGUGGAAUGCGCAGAUAUCAGGAGGAACACCGGUGGCGAAGGCGGGUCUCUGGGCAGUAACUGACGCUGAGGAGCGAAAGCGUGGGGAGCGAACAGGAUUAGAUACCCUGGUAGUCCACGCCGUAAACGGUGGGUACUAGGUGUGGGUUUCCUUCCUUGGGAUCCGUGCCGUAGCUAACGCAUUAAGUACCCCGCCUGGGGAGUACGGCCGCAAGGCUAAAACUCAAAGGAAUUGACGGGGGCCCGCACAAGCGGCGGAGCAUGUGGAUUAAUUCGAUGCAACGCGAAGAACCUUACCUGGGUUUGACAUGCACAGGACGCGUCUAGAGAUAGGCGUUCCCUUGUGGCCUGUGUGCAGGUGGUGCAUGGCUGUCGUCAGCUCGUGUCGUGAGAUGUUGGGUUAAGUCCCGCAACGAGCGCAACCCUUGUCUCAUGUUGCCAGCGGGUAAUGCCGGGGACUCGUGAGAGACUGCCGGGGUCAACUCGGAGGAAGGUGGGGAUGACGUCAAGUCAUCAUGCCCCUUAUGUCCAGGGCUUCACACAUGCUACAAUGGCCGGUACAAAGGGCUGCGAUGCCGUAAGGUUAAGCGAAUCCUUUUAAAGCCGGUCUCAGUUCGGAUUGGGGUCUGCAACUCGACCCCAUGAAGUCGGAGUCGGCUAGUAAUCGCAGAUCAG
This 803-nucleotide ribosomal RNA is filed under the name uncultured Mycobacterium sp. RNAcentral's name for it is "bacterial SSU rRNA". It matches the Rfam family "Bacterial small subunit ribosomal RNA", at positions 552 to 1352 of the family's 1533-position model. The record is from RNAcentral. Lineage: Bacteria; Bacillati; Actinomycetota; Actinomycetes; Mycobacteriales; Mycobacteriaceae.